GGCAGAAGCCAGGCAGGCUCAGGAGCCCCUCAGCCUCGGCAUGUGGCAGCCCUGCAGAGGCCUGCGGGUGCCAGGAGCGGGACUGUGCCCCUUCUGAAAGGAGUGGGCUCAGAGGGAUGCCCCCGGCACCCACAGCCCCAGGGAGCACACAGCACCUUCCUCUCUGGCUUCCUGUGGAGCCGGCCGCCCUGGAAUUAUCCACCAGCUCCUGGUUGCUUCUCCUGCCCCAGCUGAGGACAGGCCGAGCAAAGGCGCAGCCCCCCGGUCAGGCACCAGCCUCCCCACCAUCCCUCCCCCACCUCAGCACCACAAGGGCCCGGCUCUUUCCUCCCUCCCCAAACACCCAGAUGCCUCAGAUCCACCAGGUCCCUAUCCUGGUGACACUUGUCCUGGUGACAUCUCCCCAAGCCAGAUAGUUUCCACCUGUCCUACCCCGGCUGGCUCCUGCCCACCAGCUUUCCCAGGCUUGCCACGUGCCCCCAGUCCAAUCGGCCCAAGGCCAACCUUCGGCCAGGGGGCUGUGCACUCCCUGCCUGCCCUCCCUCCGGGGGGCGCAGAGGCAGUGGCUCACACUCCCUGGAGGAUCAGGACUCUCUGUCUGGCCCUGGGCUCCCAGAGGCCACACAGCUGCAGGGAGACAGGCCACCUUGAUGCUAUGCCCACUGGGCUGGGUCUCAGGCGAGGAGUGCUCCCACCGCAUGUCCUCAAGUCACAACAGCUGUUCACUGUCCACACUCAUGUCGUCAUGACACCCACACGUGGGGACAGGUUCAGAGUCACACAGCAGGAAGUCUAGUAUAGCUGAGAGCCAUCCCCAGGCCUGGCCGGCUCCAGAAGAGGUGGGGACACUCCCCCCAGCUGUCCCCAGGGCUAGAGCAGACAUGGGAUGCUCAUGCCCUGCACAGGUCGAGUCAGACCCAGGGAGGCUGAAGAUGUGUGUGGGCAUCACAUCUGGGCCAGAAAGAAACGGUGUGUGUGGAACGGGUAGUUCUCUGGAAAGAGGCCCCUGUGUGCAGGAGGCCUCCCACACAGCUUGGAAGUGGUGGGUGGGGGCAGCCCGGGGCUCAGGGUCUUGCUGUCACAGCAGGAGGGAGGCCAUGGUGGGCGAGGGGAGCUCAGGGGCGCUGGGGAGAGAUGCCCCGGGCAAAUGCUGGCACCUGAGGGCUCCACCUCCUUGGCCUGCUCCAGCACCACACGGCACCCUGCACCCCAGCCCUCUCCAGAGCCCCAAGAGAUGAGCAUCACCGUCUCUAGCUGCCAGGCCGCAAAACAAGGAAGUGGGGACCACCCUCCCUGACCCCCCAGGGGGAACAUUUCUGUGCACAUGGGGAUCCCCCCGGGGCUUCAUGCGACAGCACUGUGAUAGCUGUGGUACUGGUGGGCCUGAGAACUUCUGGGGCCUGAGAAAACCUUGUGCCCCACCUGGCACUUGUCAGCACCCUAUGCAGGUCCUAAUCACCCACAAAGCACUUGGACGUGCAGGACACAGGCCUCUGACUACUGCCCUGGAGAAACAGCUGCUCCCCACCUCAGGGCCACCCUGAGGGCCUAAGAGGGUGGGAGCUCCUGCACCACUAUGCCACCCUCAGGGCCACCCUGACCUUGCUCCCCCACGGCCAGCAGGAGCCCCCGUGAGCAGGGAGGGGCUGGUCUAACCUGUGAGCUGGCUGUUCGGGGUUAAUCCUGGGGGGGGCAGGUGCCCCUGGCCACCUUGCCUGGGUGCUGAAGGGUGUGCUCCAGCCUGCCCCUGGAGUCACCCUUGCCACUGGCCUAGUCACAGUGAGUGCCCCAGGACCGCCUGAGCCUGGCAGGCUCCUGGGAGGAGGACUGAUGCCGAGGGGGUGCACGGCCCUGGGCUGAAGACAUGCCCAGCACCUGAGAAGCCCCUUGACCUCAGGGCAGGAUGAGCCUCACACUAUCAGGGUGCCCCGCUGCCUCUCCAAGGGACACCUAACCUUAAUCCCCCAGAGCAAACUUCAACAAUCGAUCAUAAGAAAACAAACAUCUGAGGACAUCACUUGAUCCCCACGGGGGCUUUGCCUGACAGACCCCUCUCCCCACUCUAGCCCCAGGACCUGUGGGUGACCAAGAAGACAAGGAAGAUGGUGGCAAGGGCAAGAGCCCUAAGGGAGAGGUCCUGGUCCAGCCCCGGUCAAGGGCCAGCCCUGGGAAGUCCUGACCUUCACAUCCCCAGCCACCAUCCACCCAGCACCCCUGGGCGGCCAGCGGGGAGGUGAAGCACUUGCAUACCCGUCAGGGCUGCAGAGGGGGAGCUGUGAGCCUGGGAGCCCAGGGAUGGCCGCCAAAGCCAGAAGGAGCCAGAGAAAGUGAGACUGGACGACUCCAGCCUUGUCUGUGUGAGUAGCCCCUGGCCUGAAGGUGGUCCAGACUGUCUCAAGGCGUCCGUGUUGAGUGAGGAGCAGCAGAGGACAAACAGUAGCCUUGGGGUAGAGACUGUCAUCCCUAUGCAAGUGGAAAGGAAGACUCCAAGGCCAAGAGGCGUGUGGUGGACUGGGGAGUGGAAGCCAGACUAACGGACCAACGUGUGCAAGAGCCCAGGCCUGCACCCGGGGCGGCGUGCAGAGCGUGUGGCGGGCCUGCUCACACCUCUCUGGCCACCUUCCUCUCAGCGGGCAGCACAGCCCCCUCGAGUGGCCACACCCUCCUUGGAAACACGCACCUGUGCUUUGCGUCACACGCCCCAGGCCUGCACCCCCAGCAGAGGUGGCUCCUGGCCCUGCAAAGCCAAGACCCAGACCUAGAGCUAGCUGCUGGCCAAAGUGCCACCGGCUGCGCUGCCCACGGGACCACGUGGCCCAGUGGCCUCUCACGGCCACCCUUCUCAAGACCUGACCCAACGCAGACCUGCAGGCUGCUCCUGUUCCUUUCCACCAGCCGUUACCCCAGCCCCCACCUUGACCUAACCCCAGUCUUCCCCAGGCUAAGUCCAACGCUGCCUUUUAGGGAGCAAGAAUGCUUCUUAGAGUUAACAGUCCAAGUUCUCAGCACUGGGCUUUGAGCUGCCAGCUGGUCUGGAGGUGCAGGCCUCCCCGCUAUGGGAUGCUGGCUCUGUGUGUCGUGUGCCUGAGCAAUCUCUCUGCCGGGAGCGUGCCAGCCUCCCAGGCCCACGGCAGCCAGCUUCCUCUCCUUUCCCUGAUGGCUGAGAAAGAAGCUCGCCUUCCACCCCGGGCACACAGACCCCAGCUGCAGCCCCAUCUCAUUCUCACUAGAGCCUCUGGCACUCAGAAGCGGCUCAGACUACGCUCUGCAGCUGCAAAGUAUCGUUGAUGUCACUGAGUCCAGCUGUUUUGCCUGUUUGACCCACGAGUGAGGACACAGGUGGGGGACAAGGACCUGCCCAGGGAAACAAAGAGGGCUGGGCGCAAGGACCCCUGUCCCUCGGUCCAGGGCAGCAUCCACCUCAGCAGACAGCUGUGCCCAUGCCACGCUCAGCUCUGCGGGGAUGAGCACACGAGUAUGCAUGCACCUCCACCAGUGCCUGACCUGCAGGGCCUGCCCAAGGCCCCAGUCACCAUGGGGCGGAGCCAGGGUCUCGGUCACGGAUGCCAGGGCUGUUGUGCGCAGGCACUGACACAGCCGUGGCCCAUGUCAGCUUGGCUGACCUGGCAAUUCCAGCCCAGCUGGGGGCUCAGGAGCGGAGCCAGCCUCAGAGGGAGAGAAACAAGGUUGGGGUGGGGGACAGAGCAGCUUCAGGAAGAAGAGGCAGGCCUGUGGGCUGGAUGCUGUUGGACAGGGAUCUCCCCACAUGGCGGCAGGGGUGGGGAUGGCUGGGACCAUCAGGGACAGCCAAUGGGACCACGUGGAGGGCAAGGGGUGCCUAGUGUGUGCAGUGGGGCUGCACGUGGCCUCAUGGAGAGAGGGACUGCCAGGGGUCUGGGGAAUGGGCAGCAAGGAGAAGAGACACCAGCAGGCUUUGAUGCCUCUCGGGGUGAUCUGGGACUUGGCAUGUGUUUGAUGGGGCCCAAGAGAGCCUCCUCAGAGCAAGAGGGUGCUAACACUUGGCUCCUUUGAGCCCGCCCCACGUCAGGGUUGGAAAUGAGAGCUACCGUCCAGGCUUCUAGAAUAACCCAGUCUUUGGAGGGCUGCUGAGCUGCUUCCGUUUCAUCUCAGGAGGGGAGCCCGCAUCCUAGAAAAGCCAUGUCUGAUGUGCACAUGGAGAAAACUAGGACAACCCAUCCACCAUCUGACCCCUGGCUCCUAAUGAGUGGCCUUUAUGGACCCAGGGGCAUCUGUGCUGAUUAAGUGGAGCCAGGUUCAGGCCACAAGUGGUGGCAGUGGCCGUGGCCUGUGCCAGGUGUCUUCCCAGCACAGGAUCCUCAUGCAGGGAGGGGCUGAGCUGAAGGGGUGGCGGGGGUCAGGCACUGACCACAGACAAAGCCCAGGCAGAGCUGGUGCCUCCACUGGCAUUCAGGUCCCAAGCAGGCUUACAACCCGCCACCUCCCCCAAACCCUUCACACUCAUGUAGAACAGCAGAAGGGGAACAAACUCGUCCAGGCUUGUCCUGCAGAGCAGGGCUCUGUCCCCAACCUGCAGGGGUGCCCUGAACCAGAAGAACAAAUGUGAGAUGUUACAAGCGCAGCAUUCCUCCCCUCUCUAGAGCGCCGUGCAGCCUCUGCUGUGGCCUGGGGGCCUCCCACUGAGCUGUGAGGAACAAGGACGAGGACCGGCCCCUGGGAGCAGGGCCCCCACACCUGCCGGACGCUCCUGCUGGCAGGUGGCGGAACUUGCAGAGGCCUGAGUUCACGACCCAAGCCAAGCAGCGUUGCAGCACAUAUCCAAUCACUCUCUGGCUAGAGUGCACCCUCCCCCGGACGUACCUCUGGAUGACCAUGGACGUGGGCAGCCCUGGGGACAGCCAGCCCCGCCCUCUCCAGCACCACGUGCCCCACCCAGUGCUGACCCUCAUGUGCCAUUUGGCCUCUCUCUCUUCCCUCUCCUGGACCACCUUCUCCCUGGUCUGUCCAGCCACCUUGCCCCCUUCUCCUUGCUGUAGCUGGCCGACCCCCUCUCCUGCACCCUCGGCACACGCAGGGUGCCGGGUGCACUGCUCACACCCGGCCCCGAGGAAGGGGGGCUGAGGCAGGGGCUCCCGCAGGUCGACCCCUCCCUCCGAGAGCUCGCUGCGCCCGAGCACCGCCAUCUCCUCCUCUUGGGUUUCCCGUGGUGCCCCUGCUGCAGGGCCGGCUUCAUUCCCCACCCAAGAGGGGCCUGGAGCCCAGGGUUUCCCACCCCUCCUCUGAGUAGGGCCAGGCGGGUCCCUCUCUGGAAAUAAAGCCCAGCACUGAGCCGCUGGGGCUGGGGCAGCCUCCCCUGCAGCCCGGAGCGGGCCCUUGCUCGUCUGUCCUAAGCAAAUUUGCCAGUGUCCCCACAUGGGGAGCUGCGGGGUGGGUGUGACAGGACGUUAUCUGAGAGUCAGUGCCACCCUGGCAAGGGGCUGGGCUUCCUGGGGAAGCUCCACCUGCUUUGGCAUACGCUAAUUUUAGACUUCUUAUACCUAAUUAGAGAUCAACAUUUCAAAAUUUGUUUUUAAUCAACCAAAUUCCUGCACAUCCUUCCCAACUGGCCCCGAGCCACCUCGCCUCCUUCCCACGGACCCCACUGAGCCUGUGUGCUCUUUUCCACGAAGUCCCUUCCCCCAGCUGCCUCCUCCUCCUGCCGGGGCCUUCCUGGACCCUCUCCUGGACACAGUGGCCCCGGGGCACAUGUGGUAAUGGUCUCCCGUGAUCCUCGAUAACCCCGUGAGGUGGGUCUGGUCAGCCCCAGUUUACAGAUGAAGAAACUGAGUCUUACCAAUACUGAGCAGCUCGCCCAAAGCCACCAGCUAUGGGUGGGGCCAGGCAUGGUGCAGGGCCUGAGGCUGGCCAGGAGCAGAAUUGAGCGUGAGGGCGUGGGCGGCCUUUGAGUGGCCUCAGCCUGGCCUGUGAGGGAGUACAUGCUCUGCCCCCAGGGGCACGUGGUGGCCACAGCCCAUCACCAUGGAAACCAGGCAGGGGCCCCUGGAGCCUUCAGCUCUGGUUUGGAUUUCAAACCCAAUGCCGCUUUCUCAGAAGCAACUUGGUCAAACUUUCCAAAUAGGAAAAGUGGAAGGAAAAAGAGAGAGAGAGAAAUUCCCAGCCUGAAGCCACCUCAGAAAGACGGCCUGGGCCCUGAGCUGGGGAAGCCCUGUCUGGGUGGGCAGUGUGGUGGCAGGGCAGAGACCCCGUAGCCUCCCCAGGGCUCAUGCACCUCCUCUGGGGAGCAGGCGGUGGUGGUGCAGCCGAACCAGGUGGGUCCGGCCCUUCCUGUCUCUGCGGGAGCAGCUGCCCUUUUGUGUUUCCCAGUGGGGUGUGUGAGAAAGGGCUCUUUUGGAAAAAGGGUUGGAAAACCACUGACCUCAUCCAGCUGGCCCGCCUUUGGAGAUGGGGAAACUGAGGUCAGGGUCGGGACCAGGAAGUCAAAAGCAGGGCUAAACCCCGAAGGUAGGGCAGCAUGGCUACACCCAGAGCAGGCGCACCGGAAGAUCUGUGGGUCGGGCCCCAUGUGGACAGGGCGCUGGGGUAUCCACACUCCAGCCCCCUGCAGCAGCCCCGGCUCCACGCCAUGGGGGUGCCUCCCAGCCCUGUGCUCGGGCUCCUGGGCCAGCGCCCAUCGCCACAGGAAGGCCGUCCUCCCUUGGGGCUUCCACUCCAGCUCAGGAUGACUCUGAGCUACCCAGGGCACACCCGGGAAGCCUGCAAGGAAGGGGAGGUGAAUGAGCAGCAGCCACAGGCACGGUGCCCUGAGGGGAUGGGGGACAGGCAAAGGCCACCAGAUACACUCUGCCCUCCCCUAUGCCCCCACCCAUUGCCAGACCCCUUAGGGACCCUCAGCUGCUCUCCACCCUGCCCCCUCCCACCCCCAGAACCCUCUGUGGAGGGGUAUGCUCCUGCCCACUGCUUUCACUGUCAAGACAGGUGUUUGGAGACGUGAUGGCAAGGCAGUCACGCACUCUGGCAGGGGUGGGCCCGGAAUGGCCACGUCCUGAUUGCACCAGGCUGCUCCCUGGGGCCCAGUGUAUGGCUUGUGGCCAUCUUGACACUGUUGGGACCACAGGGCUCUCGAGUGCCAAGCGCUGGACGUUCACAUCCCCCAUCUCACAAAUGAGGAGGUUGGGUCUGUGCAGCCACAGGGCACCUGACUCGGUCAGAGGUGCGCCGGCCCACGGGGGCGGCCCCCCGGCAAAAGCAGUGAGCCUUGGCUCAGCCGCAGCCCCCACACUCCCUGGCUCUGUGGCUCAGGGCUUGUGGUCUUCAGAGUCCCUCCUGCUGGGCUGGGGUGGGGCCAGCUAAUCAGGGCCAGGCAAGCAGGAUGAUGCCCAGGGCGGAGGUGGGCUUGAACCUCCACUCCUGCCGGGCUGGGCGCAGGCUGGGUGGGGAGGGCGGUGGGCAGGAGGUGAGAAGCAUCCGAGCUCUGCUCCCUGCGGGCUGCGCGAUGCUGGGCCUCAGUUUGCUCACCGUGAGAUGGGAAUCAUGGGGCCACAGGGAGGAGGAAAUGUCUGCUGUCCCCGAGCUCCUCUGUGCCCCAUGGAAGCAAGCCCUGUGGCCUCCCUUCCACGGCAGAGGCCUGCUCCCUGACAUUGUUUCCCACCUCAGCCCAAGGGCCAGGCCACAGCCACUGCCCUCCCACAGGCUGGGAGCCACAGGGAGGGCCUGCAUCCGGAGUGAGCCCCAGCACUCCAUGGGCCAAGAGGACUAAGCAGAGACUGGCGUAGCCAAGCAUCCUCCUUCGCAAAGGACAGGUUCCUGCAGUGACUCUGCCACAGCCGAGGCCUCGGGGAGCCCCCUUCCUCCUGGCCCUGCCCCGCUGGGUCCUGCUCCUGUGGCCUCAGGAAACACAGCCCUCCCUCGGCCCUCUCCCACGGCUCCCUGCGGCUCCCUGCCAUCCGUGGUCUGAGCAGCUGCCUGCCCUGCUCCACUUUCCAAACCCUCAAGAGGGCCCUGGGCCUCCUCCGGAAGCUGCCCCCCUGCCGCCCUCCAGACGGCGCCUGCCUGGGGCAGUGUCCCAGGGGGAUGAAGCUGAGCCUGAUACGUGCCUGCCUCAGAAAGACUCAGCGGAGACACUGAUUCCAGGAGCUAGCCUCUGAGAAAUAACUUGCAGUGGGAAAAGCAGUGCACACUGGAAAAUGUUCUUCUCUCAGGAAUGUUGCACAGCAAGCUCCUGACCAUUCUGGAUGCGGAUACAAACACUGCUGUCCCGGGGCUGGCCAGAAACUCUGGGGUGGAGGCUGCCCGCAGGAUGUGGGACCCGGGGCAAGUCCCGUGCCCCACUGGGGGACCAUCAUGGUGGGGUCGAGAAUGCUAAGGGCUGAAGCACACUGCCGCCUUCUGCCAGGGCAUCCUGGCAUGGCCACCGCGGUGAGCCCACACCUGGACACAGAAACUGUCCCCAAGGGCCUGGCAAAAAUGCACGUGGGGGCAGCCCGUCCAGAGGCUGAUUAUGUCUGAUUGGUUUUUAAAGUCUAGCUGUGAAUGGGGGUGGCUUGGCUUGGGCAGGGAUUUAUGACCGCUGUGGUCCUGUCAGGGCGGGGGCCGGGGCAUCCUACAGACGGGAAGGCCUUGGGCACCUGCUCCAGGCUGAACCGGGCCCAGUGGGCUGGAGGCUGUGAAGUCCCAUGAAGCUUGCAGAGCCGAGGACACGGGAAGGAAGGAGAGCUCAGGGUGAUGCUAAGAAGUCACAAGCUUGCUAACCGUUUAAAGACUCUUAAAAACUGGGCCUUUUCCCUUGGAGAACUUGAAGUGAUUCUUUUGUUUACUUUGCUUUUGCAACCGGCCCAUCAAUCAACUCAAUAAUGCUAAAAAUAGCGCCACAGCAGCAAUUCCUACUACAGCCUAGUGUUCGAUUUCCUCAAUUUAAACUUUUCCCUUCUUUUCUGUUCUCUAAUUCCCACUG
Delphinapterus leucas (beluga whale) is the source of this 8929-nucleotide long non-coding RNA. RefSeq lists it as uncharacterized. NCBI's taxonomy places the organism in Eukaryota, Metazoa, Chordata, Mammalia, Artiodactyla, Monodontidae. The record is from RefSeq and is a predicted model, not a curated record.